UACGAAGGGGGCUAGCGUUGUUCGGAUUUACUGGGCGUAAAGCGCACGUAGGCGGAUCGUUAAGUCGGGGGUGAAAUCCCGGGGCUCAACCCCGGAACUGCCCUUGAAACUGGAGAGCUAGAAUCUUGGAGAGGCGAGUGGAAUUCCGAGUGUAGAGGUGAAAUUCGUAGAUAUUCGGAAGAACACCAGUGGCGAAGGCGACUCGCUGGACAAGUAUUGACGCUGAGGUGCGAAAGCGUGGGGAGCAAACAGG
RNAcentral lists this ribosomal RNA (253 nucleotides) under uncultured bacterium. RNAcentral describes it as "partial 16S ribosomal RNA". It matches the Rfam family "Bacterial small subunit ribosomal RNA", at positions 524 to 776 of the family's 1533-position model. The record is from RNAcentral.